Molecule: ribosomal RNA, 491 nt
Filed under: uncultured bacterium
Lineage: Bacteria
Description: partial 16S ribosomal RNA
Rfam family: Bacterial small subunit ribosomal RNA
Source: RNAcentral
AGUGAACGCUGGCGGUAGGCCUAACACAUGCAAGUCGAACGGCAGCACAGUAAGAGCUUGCUCUUACGGGUGGCGAGUGGCGGACGGGUGAGGAAUACAUCGGAAUCUACUUUUUCGUGGGGGAUAACGUAGGGAAACUUACGCUAAUACCGCAUACGACCUACGGGUGAAAGCAGGGGAUCUUCGGACCUUGCGCGAUUGAAUGAGCCGAUGUCGGAUUAGCUAGUUGGCGGGGUAAAGGCCCACCAAGGCGACGAUCCGUAGCUGGUCUGAGAGGAUGAUCAGCCACAGUGGAACUGAGACACGAUCCAGACUCCUACGGGAGGCAGAAGUGGGGAAUAUUGGACAAUGGGCGCAAGCCUGAUCCAGCCAUACCGCGUGGGUGAAGAAGGCCUUCGGGUUGUAAAGCCCUUUUGUUGGGAAAGAAAAGCAGCAGGUUAAUACCCCGCUGUUCUGACGGUACCCAAAGAAUAAGCACCGGCUAACUUCGU